Molecule: ribosomal RNA, 404 nt
Filed under: uncultured bacterium
Lineage: Bacteria
Description: bacterial SSU rRNA
Rfam family: Bacterial small subunit ribosomal RNA
Source: RNAcentral
UCGGGAAUUUUGGGCAAUGGGCGAAAGCCUGACCCAGCAACGCCGCGUGAAGGAUGAAGUAUUUCGGUAUGUAAACUUCGAAAGAAUGGGAAGAAUCAAUGACGGUACCAUUUAUAAGCUCCGGCUAACUACGUGCCAGCAGCCGCGGUAAUACGUAGGGAGCAAGCGUUGUUCGGAUUUACUGGGCGUAAAGGGCGCGUAGGCGGCAAAUCAAGUCAGCUGUGAAAUCUCCGAGCUUAACUCGGAACGGUCAGCUGAUACUGUUUUGCUAGAGUGCAGAAAGGGCAAUCGGAAUUCUUGGUGUAGCGGUGAAAUGCGUAGAUAUCAAGAGGAACACCUGAGGCGAAGGCGGGUUGCUAGGCUGACACUGACGCUGAGGCGCGAAAGCCAGGGGAGCAAACGGG